UUGAGCUGAUCCAGGCCUGGC
Molecule: microRNA, 21 nt
Filed under: Columba livia (rock pigeon)
Lineage: Eukaryota; Metazoa; Chordata; Aves; Columbiformes; Columbidae
Description: cli-miR-9616-3p
Source: miRBase by way of RNAcentral